This 427-nucleotide ribosomal RNA is filed under the name uncultured bacterium. RNAcentral's name for it is "bacterial SSU rRNA". It matches the Rfam family "Bacterial small subunit ribosomal RNA", at positions 86 to 507 of the family's 1533-position model. The record is from RNAcentral.
UGGUGGCGAGUGGCGAACGGGUGAGUAAUAUAUCGGAACGUGCCCAGGUCGUGGGGGAUAACGUAGCGAAAGCUACGCUAAUACCGCAUACGAUCUAUGGAUGAAAGCGGGGGAUCGCAAGACCUCGCGCGAUUGGAGCGGCCGAUAUCAGAUUAGGUAGUUGGGUGAGGUAAAGGCUCACCAAGCCGACGAUCUGUAGCUGGUCUGAGAGGACGACCAGCCACACUGGGACUGAGACACGGCCCAGACUCCUACGGGAGGCAGCAGUGAGGAAUAUUGGACAAUGGGCGCAAGCCUGAUCCAGCAAUGCCGCGUGCAGGAUGAAGGCCUUCGGGUUGUAAACUGCUUUUGUACGGAACGAAACGGUGAGCUCUAAUACAGUUUGCUAAUGACGGUACCGUAAGAAUAAGCACCGGCUAACUACGUG